GGUAGGUUUAUCAUAAAGGUUUAUGCUUACUAGUUUCAGGUUGUGGAUUUAGUACCCACAUUGUCGAAAGACCAGUAAACAACCCAAACACCGUCUGCAGGAAAGUCAAAUAUGGCGGGGUAUUCCCCAGUCACGUGACUCUUUGCAAACGAGGCUGAGGGGAAUUCCAUCAAGAUUUGUUGAUUGAUUCUGAACUUUGGCACCACAGGCCCAGGGAGAUUUACCACUCCCCCCCAGUCACUGUAUCGCUUCUAAGUAAUACAUGGUAUGAAGUGAAUCAUCAUCAUGCCCAUAUAAGGAAGAAGUCCAUAUGAGGAGAAUACAGUCAGCACUGCUGGUGGUUUUGUCAGAUUUGAGAGGAUAGGAUAUUAUUGAGGUACAUGUACAGAGAACCACCAUGGCUUUAUUUUCUGCAAAUACUGUAUACAGCGUCCUGAUAACAGCUAUAGGGAUUGUUUUGGUGAGAAGUUUCCCAGAGUACUCAACCAUAAUUUUUAUGAUGACAAUGACUACAAUUAUCACAUUCCAGUAUUCCAAUAAAGAACGAGAAAAACAAAGUCAGCGCAAAAUCACAUUCCACAAACUGCAUACAUUGAACCAGACUUAUGUGGACCAAACAGACAGACUUCUGAAAUCAGAAUGGCCAGAGCGUGAUGGUGUUUCAACUGACGAUAUUGAAUUUCAAGAUUAUGAAGCAUCUAAAACAUUGGUUAAAUCCUCCAACUUAUUAGAGCCAUGUCAUCUGGUUGCCCUAGCACAAUUCCGGCCAACAGGUAAACCAUUAGUUGUUGGCCAUGUUAAGUUAACACGUAGAACAUCUAUGAAUAUGUCAUAUGGUAAACUGUUAAAAAUGCAUAGAAGUGGCAUUCCUUCUGGUGCAUUAGAAAUUACAGCAAAAACGCAUAAUUUAGAUUAUGGGACCUUGCAAGAAAUGAUCGCAAAUCCAGAUGAAGCUAACACAUACGAAGCAGAGGAGACAUUUACAUUAAGUGUUGCAGGCCUUGUUGUCUCCAAACCACUUAGGGGUCAAGGACUCGGGAAGGCCAUGUGUGCAUUUGCGUUAAAGACUGCGCGAAGUGCAAACAUCUCAACCCUUGUUGGAGGGUGCAAAAGAGAACUUGUACCAUUUUAUGAAAGUAUGGGUGCUAAAAAGCAACAGAAAACAUUGAGAGCAUUGUAUCAUGAAAUGAAGUUACCUAUUGAUGAUACAGUUGUUGAAAUGGCUGAUAAAAUUCUCUCAAAGUUUAAGCCUAGAUCAUAGAAAUGUUUUUAUCGAGACAAUAUUAUCAAAAAUUAUAAACUCUUUGGAAAGGAGAUACAGGGUGUCCCUAAAGUUGUACUGAGACAAACAUGAAAAGAUAACCAAAGCAAACCCGCAUUGGUUCACUUUAAGAAAUUACAGGGGGAUUCACAUUUGACUAUUUUGGCUGAAAAUCAGUUGUAAAGUGCCUGGAAUGGUGGAAAAACUGCAUGAUUUUGAAAGAUUUUUUUGGCCAGGGUUGAGUUUGCUCACACACAUUUUAUAAAGAAAGACACCCAAAGGCGAUUUAAU
RNAcentral lists this unclassified non-coding RNA (1552 nucleotides) under Owenia fusiformis. RNAcentral's name for it is "misc RNA OFUS_LOCUS5635". The record is from RNAcentral. Lineage: Eukaryota; Metazoa; Annelida; Polychaeta; Sabellida; Oweniidae.